This 881-nucleotide ribosomal RNA is filed under the name Massilia sp. UAPS0175. Its description in RNAcentral is "bacterial SSU rRNA". It matches the Rfam family "Bacterial small subunit ribosomal RNA", at positions 37 to 916 of the family's 1533-position model. Lineage: Bacteria; Pseudomonadati; Pseudomonadota; Betaproteobacteria; Burkholderiales; Oxalobacteraceae. The record is from RNAcentral.
UGGCGGCAUGCAUUACACAUGCAGUCGAGCGGUAACAGGGAGCUUGCUCCGCUGACGAGUGGCGAACGGGUGAGUAAUAUAUCGGAACGUACCCAAGAGUGGGGGAUAACGUAGCGAAAGUUACGCUAAUACCGCAUACGAUCCAAGGAUGAAAGCAGGGGACCGCAAGGCCUUGUGCUCCUGGAGCGGCCGAUAUCUGAUUAGCUAGUUGGUAGGGUAAAGGCCUACCAAGGCAUCGAUCAAUAGCUGGUCUGAGAGGACGACCAGCCACACUGGAACUGAGACACGGUCCAGACUCCUACGGGAGGCAGCAGUGGGGAAUUUUGGACAAUGGGCGCGAGCCUGAUCCAGCAAUGCCGCGUGAGUGAAGAAGGCCUUCGGGUUGUAAAGCUCUUUUGUCAGGGAAGAAACGGGUGUGGCUAAUAUCUGCAUGUAAUGACGGUACCUGAAGAAUAAGCACCGGCUAACUACGUGCCAGCAGCCGCGGUAAUACGUAUGGUGCAAGCGUUAAUCGGAAUUACUGGGCGUGAAGCGUGCGCAGGCGGUUUUGUAAGUCUGUUGUGAAAUCCCCGGGCUUAACCUGGGAAUGGCAAUGGAGACUGCAAUGCUAGAGUUUGGCACAGGGGAGUAGAAUUCCACGUGUAGCAUUGAAAUGCGUAGAGAUGUGGAGGAACACCGAUGGCGAAGGCAGCCCCCUGGGUCAAAACUGACGCUCAUGCACGAAAGCGUGGGGAGCAAACAGGAUUAGAUACCCUGGUAGUCCACGCCCUAAACGAUGUCUACAAUUUGUCGGGUCUUAAUUGACUUGGUAACGCAGCUAACGCGUGAAGUAGACGCCUGGGGAGUACGGUCGCCAGAUUAAAACUCAAAGGACUUGACGG